Molecule: ribosomal RNA, 228 nt
Filed under: uncultured bacterium
Lineage: Bacteria
Description: partial 16S ribosomal RNA
Rfam family: Bacterial small subunit ribosomal RNA
Source: RNAcentral
UCCGUAGGCGGACUAAUAAGUCAGGGGUGAAAUCCAACAGCUUAACUGUUGAACUGCCUUUGAUACUGUUAGUCUUGAAUUAUAUGGAAGUAGAUAGAAUGUGUAGUGUAGCGGUGAAAUGCUUAGAGAUUACACAGAAUACCGAUUGCGAAGGCAGUCUACUACGUAUAUAUUGACGCUAAUGGACGAAAGCGUGGGGAGCGAACAGGAUUAGAUACCCUGGUAGUC